RNAcentral lists this ribosomal RNA (634 nucleotides) under uncultured bacterium. RNAcentral's name for it is "bacterial SSU rRNA". It matches the Rfam family "Bacterial small subunit ribosomal RNA", at positions 9 to 655 of the family's 1533-position model. The record is from RNAcentral.
GAGUUUGAACCUGGCUCAGGAUGAACGCUGGCGGCGUGCCUAAUACAUGCAAGUCGAGCGAACCACUUCGGUGGUGAGCGGCGAACGGGUGAGUAACACGUAGGUGAUCUGCCCAUCAGACGGGGACAACGAUUGGAAACGAUCGCUAAUACCGGAUAGGACGAAAGUUUAAAGGUGCUUCUGGCACCGCUGAUGGGUGAGCCUGCGGCGCAUUAGCUAGUUGGUAGGGUAAAGGCCUACCAAGGCGACGAUGCGUAGCCGACCUGAGAGGGUGAACGGCCACACUGGGACUGAGACACGGCCCAGACUCCUACGGGAGGCAGCAGUAGGGAAUCUUCGGCAAUGGGCGAAAGCCUGACCGAGCAACGCCGCGUGAAUGAUGAAGGCCUUCGGGUUGUAAAAUUCUGUUAUAAGGGAAGAACGACUUUAGUAGGAAAUGGCUAGAGUGUGACGGUACCUUAUGAGAAAGCCACGGCUAACUACGUGCCAGCAGCCGCGGUAAUACGUAGGUGGCGAGCGUUAUCCGGAAUUAUUGGGCGUAAAGAGCGCGCAGGUGGUUGAUUAAGUCUGAUGUGAAAGCCCACGGCUUAACCGUGGAGGGUCAUUGGAAACUGGUCGACUUGAGUGCAGAAGA